GUAGCCGGAUUCGCAUCAAUCCAUAUGUUUUGGGGUGGAUUGGAGUAGAACUUGAACUAAAUUGUACCCUAAUCCACUCCAACACAUGUGGAUUGAGGUGCCAACA
Molecule: microRNA precursor, 106 nt
Organism: Sorghum bicolor (sorghum)
Lineage: Eukaryota; Viridiplantae; Streptophyta; Magnoliopsida; Poales; Poaceae
Rfam family: MIR5565 microRNA precursor family
Source: Rfam